Molecule: ribosomal RNA, 433 nt
Filed under: uncultured bacterium
Lineage: Bacteria
Description: partial 16S ribosomal RNA
Rfam family: Bacterial small subunit ribosomal RNA
Source: RNAcentral
AACGAACGCUGGCGGCAGGCCUAGCACAUGCAAGUCGAGCGGACCCUUCGGGGUUAGCGGCGGACGGGUGAGUAACGCGUGGGAAUAUGCCCUUCUCUACGGAAUAGUCCUGGGAAACUGGGGGUAAUACCGUAUACGCCCUUUGGGGGAAAGAUUUAUCGGGGAAGGAUUAGCCCGCGUUGGAUUAGGUAGUUGGUGGGGUAAUGGCCUACCAAGCCGACGAUCCAUAGCUGGUUUGAGAGGAUGAUCAGCCACACUGGGACUGAGACACGGCCCAGACUCCUACGGGAAGCAGCAGUGGGGAAUCUUAGACAAUGGGGGCAACCCUGAUCUAGCCAUGCCGCGUGAGUGAUGAAGGCCUUAGGGUUGUAAAGCUCUUUCAGCUGGGAAGAUAAUGACGGUACCAGCAGAAGAAGCCCCGGCUAACUCCGUG